CAACCCAGCCACCUUUCAGUGUGGCUGUGUCAGUAUCGGAAUGAAAUGAACAUGACCCCCUCCAGCAGGGAAGGAACACACAGUAAAGAAGCCAGAUGCUGUGUUGGGAGCAUACUGAUGCAGCCCUGUGUGGCAUCGAUGUGACAGAGAGGCCUCCUGCCAGCAGCCAGCACCAAUUUGCCAGCUCUCUUCUAAAAUGCUGGCAGCCAGGCUGAACUAUUCAACCAGGAGAUCGAAAGAAAUUUCUCUGCAGACUCUGACAGCCUACAGAAAAAACUUACGAUAUAGUAUUGGGAAUGACGCAAAGAAAUAGUACAGUCAGGAACACGAAGAUCUGCUUGCAUCAGAUGUGCCCUAUGACAUGCUCAGAGCCUCUGAUUGGCUUUUCGGUGCCUCACUAGAUACAUGAAUAGACAGCCAAGGAUCAUCAGUUAUCUGUGGAAACAGAUUUGCCAAAACAAAGAACAGGAACAAAAAACUCAGAGGACAAGAGACUAUGGAGUGAGAAGAAAAAUAUUCCCUCAAACUAUCAUUAAUAAUCUCAAACGGAAAAAAGAAAAUAUUGCAUGGAACAAGACAAUAUGCAAUAAAAAGGAAAAUUCCAAAAGAAUUUUUGCCAAUUAAAGUAUGAUAGCAGAUCUUAAAAACUCAAUACAAGGUUUGUAAGAUGAAAUUGAGGAAACCUCCUAGAAAACCAAGCAAAAGAAAAAGACGUGGGAAUUAAAAGAGAAAGAUUUUUUUAAAAAUGGAGGAUCAAUUCUAGAGAUGAGAGAGAGAAAGAAAAUGGGAGAAAAUAAUAAAAAAAAAAAUCUCAGAAUGGAAGGACAAGCAUUUCUACAUUGAAAGUGUCCACCGAGGCCUUGAUACUGAAUGAAAAUGGAUCCAUACCUAGGCACAUCAUCAUGACAUUUUGGAAAAUAGAAGACUGAGAAUAUCUUAAGAACACUCUUUUUAAUGAGACUAAUAGAGAAGGGGCUUCUCCAAAAUAAGAAGAAACCAAGAAAGGGAAACACAAAUGAUCCAGGAGGAGGGAAUCCAAAGUAGAGAGAAAAAAAAGGACUCUCUAGAAUGAUGCUGAAUGGAACUAGCCAAAUAAGACCUAGUCAGUAGGCUUGGAGAGCAGCCAGUCCAGGCUGGAGCAGGUUCUCCUACUCUAGAUGCAGGAAUGGCCUUAGGGUCCAUCUGCUUUUGGCAAACACCUACACCUGCCAAGUCUUCAACGCUUGGGUAGUAGACCAUUACCCUUUCACCUCACUGUAUUGCCUUCACCAUGGUUAAAAGACAGGUACUAUUAGCGAUAGUUAUUUUUUUGUAUAGAGUAUUACUCUUAACCUGCCAAACUCUCAAAUAUUUUCCCUUUCUCUUUCACUGACUAUUCUAUUGGCUCUGAUUCUAAGGCUAGUCUAUGACAUAAAUAAGGGAAAUGGUUGGAGGACACGGAGUGAACCUGGUAGAUCAGGUGAAGAAUGUCUCAUUUUAGAUUAGUGGAAAACAAAACAAAAUAUUUCAUGCUGUCCUUGGCUCUGACCUAGACAGCCCUCUUAACUUGCGAUAGGGAAAGUAUGCUUAUCCUACUUUCAAUUAAACAAAGCUAGAACAAAUAUUUAAUAUAUCAGAAGAAAGAAUUAGGAUUCAAAAAGUCCUCAAUAGUUUCCAAACUUAGGAUUAGCAAAUAAAUGAAACAGUAGAAAUAAUUUUAAAGCCCCAUACCUUUUUUUUUUUUUUUUAAGAUUUU
Long non-coding RNA from Ailuropoda melanoleuca (giant panda), 1735 nucleotides. RefSeq lists it as uncharacterized. Lineage: Eukaryota; Metazoa; Chordata; Mammalia; Carnivora; Ursidae. The transcript is spliced from 4 exons. The record is from RefSeq and is a predicted model, not a curated record.